Molecule: transfer RNA, 69 nt
Filed under: Sarcophilus harrisii (Tasmanian devil)
Lineage: Eukaryota; Metazoa; Chordata; Mammalia; Dasyuromorphia; Dasyuridae
Rfam family: tRNA
About the family: Transfer RNA (tRNA) molecules are approximately 80 nucleotides in length. Their secondary structure includes four short double-helical elements and three loops (D, anti-codon, and T loops).
Source: Rfam by way of RNAcentral
GGUAAAAUAUCUGAGGAUAAGAAUUGAACUGUAAAUUCAAAGACAGAGACUAGAUAUCUCUUUUUACCA